This 346-nucleotide RNase P RNA is filed under the name Mycoplasmoidaceae bacterium. RNAcentral describes it as "RNase P RNA component class B". It matches the Rfam family "Bacterial RNase P class B". From Rfam's summary of the family: Ribonuclease P (RNase P) is a ubiquitous endoribonuclease, found in archaea, bacteria and eukarya as well as chloroplasts and mitochondria. The record is from RNAcentral. Lineage: Bacteria; Bacillati; Mycoplasmatota; Mycoplasmoidales; Mycoplasmoidaceae.
ACAAGUAAUUGAUCGCUGCAUUAAUAAUGUAGAGGAAAGUCCAUGCUUGCACAAGCUGCGAUGCUUGUAAAUGUUUAUGUGGAAUGAUAAAUUCCAACACCCUAUAGUUAGAGUGAUGACGCUAAAAUUAUCUAAGUAUCGGUAUAAGAUAGUAAUAGCCUAAAGUGCCACAGAGACGAGUUUAUAGGAAACUAUAAAAGUGAAACGCGGUAAACUCCAUAAGCAAGAAACCCAAAUUUGGUAGGGGAACAAGUCAAAGAUAACUGAAUCAAUGAUUUGGCACAUAUGUGUAGAUAAAUGAUCAAUAUCAUUAUGUAAAUAAUGACACAGAACAUGGCUUACAACU